Molecule: ribosomal RNA, 465 nt
Filed under: uncultured bacterium
Lineage: Bacteria
Description: partial 16S ribosomal RNA
Rfam family: Bacterial small subunit ribosomal RNA
Source: RNAcentral
GACGAACGCUGGCGGCGUGCUUAACACAUGCAAGUCGAACGGAAAGGCCCUGCUUGCAGGGUACUCGAGUGGCGAACGGGUGAGUAACACGUGGGUGAUCUGCCCUGCACUUCGGGAUAAGCCUGGGAAACUGGGUCUAAUACCGGAUAGGAGCCAUUUUUAGUGUGAUGGUUGGAAAGUUUUUUCGGUGUAGGAUGAGCUCGCGGCCUAUCAGCUUGUUGGUGGGGUAAUGGCCUACCAAGGCGGCGACGGGUAGCCGGCCUGAGAGGGUGGACGUCCACAUUGGGACUGAGAUACGGCCCAGACUCCUACGGGAGGCAGCAGUGGGGAAUAUUGCACAAUGGGCGCAAGCCUGAUGCAGCGACGCCGCGUGGGGGAUGACGGCCUUCGGGUUGUAAACUCCUUUCGCUAGGGACGAAGCUUUUUGUGACGGUACCUAGAUAAGAAGCACCGGCUAACUACGUG